Molecule: ribosomal RNA, 253 nt
Filed under: uncultured bacterium
Lineage: Bacteria
Description: partial 16S ribosomal RNA
Rfam family: Bacterial small subunit ribosomal RNA
Source: RNAcentral
UACGUAGGGUCCGAGCGUUGUCCGGAAUUAUUGGGCGUAAAGGGCUCGUAGGCGGUUCGUCACGUCGGGAGUGAAAACUCGGAGCUUAACUCCGAGCCUGCUUCCGAUACGGGCAGACUAGAGGUAGGCAGGGGAGAGCGGAACUCCUGGUGUAGCGGUGGAAUGCGCAGAUAUCAGGAAGAACACCGGUGGCGAAGGCGGCUCUCUGGGCCGGUACUGACGCUGAGGUGCGAAAGCGUGGGGAGCAAACAGG